UGUGGGAGCGAGCCUGCUCGCGAUAGCGGUGUGUCAGCCGACUUCUAAUAGGCUGAUCCACCGCUAUCGCGAGCAGGCUCGCUCCCACA
RNAcentral lists this unclassified non-coding RNA (89 nucleotides) under Pseudomonas mediterranea. Lineage: Bacteria; Pseudomonadati; Pseudomonadota; Gammaproteobacteria; Pseudomonadales; Pseudomonadaceae. The record is from RNAcentral.